GGCUUGCAUCCCAGGUGCAUAACGGCGUCAAACAGCAGGGUCACCGCCGACUCGCAGGCUGCCAAGGAUGGAAAGAAAGAACGGGAGGAAGAGCAUGAGAAAAAACACACAGCAGUGGAAAGUUUUAGGCUCUCAGGCAGUUCAUCAGGGAGGCGUCUGAUUGGUCCCAGACUUAUUCUGCAUCAUGAGACAACGACCCCAAACAUACAGCCCGAGUCACAAAGAGCUAUCCUCAGAGGCAAGAAGAACAAGGAGUCCUGCGACAGAUGGUCUGCCCCCCCUACAGAGCCCUGAUCUCAACAUCAUGGAGUCAGUCUGGGAUCACAUGAGGAGACAGAGGACACUGAGACAGACUAUAUCCACAGAAGAACUGUGGCAUGUUCUCCAUGAUGCUUGGACCAACCUACUAGGAGGACUGGUGCUGUUUUAAAGGCGAAUGGGUGGUCACAGCAUGAAUUGAUUUGAUUUGAUUUGAUUUGAUUUAGGUUGUGUCUGUUAAGGUCUCUUCUUGUCACUGCUGGUUGCUGGACAAGCUACGAAAUGGAGAGAGACAGUUCCCAGCUACAACAUACUGAGGGCAUUCAGUUGACGUAUAUAACCUGCUAUGUCUGAAGCUACUAUCUGCCAGUCACAUCAUCGUAGCAGAUUUGUGGGCUGGGCUCCGUUUUUACACCCAGCAUCGUGCCUGUGCACUGUGGACUACAUGCGCCGUACAGUGUGUGUACGCAUCAUUUGCAUUAAAAAAAGAAGAAGAAAGAAGCAGCAGCAGCAGCUGAGGUAUUGGGCACACGUCCACCGCACCAGGCACGCGUCCAGGACCGAAUCACACGACAGCCCACGCAGGAAAACCCCCAGCCACCCCGACCUCCGUCACACUACCUGGAAUCCGAACAGCGGGGAGCCGCAUCCGUUUGGCGGUGGGUGCCGGUAGCCGGGACGAGGGGCGGGCUUGUAACCUGUGGGACAGGAGCAAAGGUGAAGAGGCGUCUUGCUCCGCCACUGAUGGCCAUCUUGCUGUCGGCGACAGCCACGUCAGUGCGCACCGUUUAAUGGCUUAACGCGACGCUCUGGGAGCGACAAUGUACAACUUAUACCCCAAAAUUCAUUAAGUCUGUCCCCUCGCUAACGACCCGCAGCUCUCUCAUUUGGACUCGACGUGACGGGCUAAAAGCACAGGUGCUAAUGGUACCACCCAUGUUUGGCCGAGCCGGUCACCCAAGCGCACACGAUACAUGGUUCCUGACACUAGAAUGAAACACAGCCACCAACGACGUUCUCGGCAACACCCGCGUUUUCUCCAGUCAGUCGUUCACUUCGAGAAAAGGUUUUGAGAGAAGGAAGACAGAAGCUCGUUUUUUACCGUCGCUACACCUGUAAUGACACAGCCCGUCAUCGCCACCAAACAAGUCCAGCGCCGCGUUCAGGCAGACACAUGUGGGAAACAUCCGCCGGAGCACAAAACCAACAGGAGAACGCAAGUGUAGCUGUGGCAGAGCAUAGUCGGCUUCGCGUCAGGACCAGAAACCAGU
This is a long non-coding RNA of Xiphias gladius (swordfish), 1529 nucleotides long. RefSeq lists it as uncharacterized. The record is from RefSeq and is a predicted model, not a curated record. The transcript is spliced from 3 exons. Lineage: Eukaryota; Metazoa; Chordata; Actinopteri; Istiophoriformes; Xiphiidae.